GGGUUGUGAGGUUAAGCGACUAAGCGUACACGGUGGAUGCCCUGGCAGUCAGAGGCGAUGAAGGACGUGCUAAUCUGCGAUAAGCGUCGGUGAGGUGAUAUGAACCGUUAUAACCGGCGAUUUCCGAAUGGGGAAACCCAGUGUGUUUCGACACACUAUCAUUAACUGAAUCCAUAGGUUAAUGAGGCGAACCGGGGGAACUGAAACAUCUAAGUACCCCGAGGAAAAGAAAUCAACCGAGAUUCCCCCAGUAGCGGCGAGCGAACGGGGAGGAGCCCAGAGCCUGAAUCAGUGUGUGUGUUAGUGGAAGCGUCUGGAAAGGCGUGCGAUACAGGGUGACAGCCCCGUACACAAAAAUGCACAUAUUGUGAGCUCGAUGAGUAGGGCGGGACACGUGGUAUCCUGUCUGAAUAUGGGGGGACCAUCCUCCAAGGCUAAAUACUCCUGACUGACCGAUAGUGAACCAGUACCGUGAGGGAAAGGCGAAAAGAACCCCGGCGAGGGGAGUGAAAAAGAACCUGAAACCGUGUACGUACAAGCAGUGGGAGCCUCUUAAUGGGGUGACUGCGUACCUUUUGUAUAAUGGGUCAGCGACUUAUAUUCUGUAGCAAGGUUAACCGAAUAGGGGAGCCGAAGGGAAACCGAGUCUUAACUGGGCGUUAAGUUGCAGGGUAUAGACCCGAAACCCGGUGAUCUAGCCAUGGGCAGGUUGAAGGUUGGGUAACACUAACUGGAGGACCGAACCGACUAAUGUUGAAAAAUUAGCGGAUGACUUGUGGCUGGGGGUGAAAGGCCAAUCAAACCGGGAGAUAGCUGGUUCUCCCCGAAAGCUAUUUAGGUAGCGCCUCGUGAAUUCAUCUCCGGGGGUAGAGCACUGUUUCGGCAAGGGGGUCAUCCCGACUUACCAACCCGAUGCAAACUGCGAAUACCGGAGAAUGUUAUCACGGGAGACACACGGCGGGUGCUAACGUCCGUCGUGAAGAGGGAAACAACCCAGACCGCCAGCUAAGGUCCCAAAGUCAUGGUUAAGUGGGAAACGAUGUGGGAAGGCCCAGACAGCCAGGAUGUUGGCUUAGAAGCAGCCAUCAUUUAAAGAAAGCGUAAUAGCUCACUGGUCGAGUCGGCCUGCGCGGAAGAUGUAACGGGGCUAAACCAUGCACCGAAGCUGCGGCAGCGACACUAUGUGUUGUUGGGUAGGGGAGCGUUCUGUAAGCCUGUGAAGGUGGCCUGUGAGGGUUGCUGGAGGUAUCAGAAGUGCGAAUGCUGACAUAAGUAACGAUAAAGCGGGUGAAAAGCCCGCUCGCCGGAAGACCAAGGGUUCCUGUCCAACGUUAAUCGGGGCAGGGUGAGUCGACCCCUAAGGCGAGGCCGAAAGGCGUAGUCGAUGGGAAACAGGUUAAUAUUCCUGUACUUGGUGUUACUGCGAAGGGGGGGACGGAGAAGGCUAUGUUGGCCGGGCGACGGUUGUCCCGGUUUAAGCGUGUAGGCUGGUUUUCCAGGCAAAUCCGGAAAACCAAGGCUGAGGCGUGAUGACGAGGCACUACGGUGCUGAAGCGACAAAUGCCCUGCUUCCAGGAAAAGCCUCUAAGCAUCAGGUAACAUCAAAUCGUACCCAAAACCGACACAGGUGGUCAGGUAGAGAAUACCAAGGCGCUUGAGAGAACUCGGGUGAAGGAACUAGGCAAAAUGGUGCCGUAACUUCGGGAGAAGGCACGCUGAUAUGUAGGUGAAGCGACUCGCUCGUGGAGCUGAAAUCAGUCGAAGAUACCAGCUGGCUGCAACUGUUUAUUAAAAACACAGCACUGUGCAAACACGAAAGUGGACGUAUACGGUGUGACGCCUGCCCGGUGCCGGAAGGUUAAUUGAUGGGGUUAGCGGUAACGCGAAGCUCUUGAUCGAAGCCCCGGUAAACGGCGGCCGUAACUAUAACGGUCCUAAGGUAGCGAAAUUCCUUGUCGGGUAAGUUCCGACCUGCACGAAUGGCGUAAUGAUGGCCAGGCUGUCUCCACCCGAGACUCAGUGAAAUUGAACUCGCUGUGAAGAUGCAGUGUACCCGCGGCAAGACGGAAAGACCCCGUGAACCUUUACUAUAGCUUGACACUGAACAUUGAGCCUUGAUGUGUAGGAUAGGUGGGAGGCUUUGAAGUGUGGACGCCAGUCUGCAUGGAGCCGACCUUGAAAUACCACCCUUUAAUGUUUGAUGUUCUAACGUUGGCCCGUAAUCCGGGUUGCGGACAGUGUCUGGUGGGUAGUUUGACUGGGGCGGUCUCCUCCUAAAGAGUAACGGAGGAGCACGAAGGUUGGCUAAUCCUGGUCGGACAUCAGGAGGUUAGUGCAAUGGCAUAAGCCAGCUUGACUGCGAGCGUGACGGCGCGAGCAGGUGCGAAAGCAGGUCAUAGUGAUCCGGUGGUUCUGAAUGGAAGGGCCAUCGCUCAACGGAUAAAAGGUACUCCGGGGAUAACAGGCUGAUACCGCCCAAGAGUUCAUAUCGACGGCGGUGUUUGGCACCUCGAUGUCGGCUCAUCACAUCCUGGGGCUGAAGUAGGUCCCAAGGGUAUGGCUGUUCGCCAUUUAAAGUGGUACGCGAGCUGGGUUUAGAACGUCGUGAGACAGUUCGGUCCCUAUCUGCCGUGGGCGCUGGAGAACUG
RNAcentral lists this ribosomal RNA (2648 nucleotides) under Escherichia coli. RNAcentral's name for it is "partial 23S ribosomal RNA". It matches the Rfam family "Bacterial large subunit ribosomal RNA". The record is from RNAcentral. Lineage: Bacteria; Pseudomonadati; Pseudomonadota; Gammaproteobacteria; Enterobacterales; Enterobacteriaceae.